CCUACGGGUGGCAGCAGUGAGGAAUAUUGGUCAAUGGACGAGAGUCUGAACCAGCCAAGUAGCGUGAAGGAUGACUGCCCUAUGGGUUGUAAACUUCUUUUAUAAAGGAAUAAAACGAGGCACGCGUGCCUUUUUGCAUGUACUUUAUGAAUAAGGAUCGGCUAAACCCGUGCCAGCAGCCGCGGUAAUAAGGAGGAUCCGAGCGUUAUCCGGAUUUAUUGGGUUUAAAGGGAGCGUAGAGGGGUUGUUAAGUCAGUUGGGAAAGUUUGCGGCUCAAACGUAAGAUUGCAAUUGAUACUGGCAGUCUUGAGUACAGUUGAGGUAUGCGGAAUGCGUGGUGUAGCGGUGAAAUGCUUAGAUAUCACGAAGAACCCCGAUUGCGAAGGCAGCUUACUAGACUGUGACUGACAUUGAUGCUCGAAAGUGUGGGUAUCAAACAGGAUUAGAUACCCCGGUAGUC
Molecule: ribosomal RNA, 460 nt
Filed under: uncultured bacterium
Lineage: Bacteria
Description: partial 16S ribosomal RNA
Rfam family: Bacterial small subunit ribosomal RNA
Source: RNAcentral